RNAcentral lists this ribosomal RNA (253 nucleotides) under uncultured bacterium. RNAcentral's name for it is "partial 16S ribosomal RNA". It matches the Rfam family "Bacterial small subunit ribosomal RNA", at positions 524 to 776 of the family's 1533-position model. The record is from RNAcentral.
UACGUAGGUGGCAAGCGUUGUCCGGAUUUACUGGGCGUAAAGAGCGCGCAGGCGGUCGUUCAAGUCGCGUGUGAAAGCCCCCGGCUCAACUGGGGAGGGUCACGCGAUACUGAUCGACUGGAAGGCAGGAGAGGGUAGUGGAAUUCCCGGUGUAGUGGUGAAAUGCGUAGAUAUCGAGAGGAACACCUGCGGCGAAGGCGGGUUGCUGGGCUGACACUGACGCUGAGACGCGAAAGCGUGGGGAGCAAACAGG